GAAUAAAAUCUUCGAGAACGUGAUUUUCUCACCGAACAUGAUCCAGGAGACUUGGACCCUACUCCAAGGAACAAAAGAGGCGGUCACGAGGGUGGGGCCACCCCCCUAGGGCGCGCCCCUGCCUCGUGGGCCCCUCAUUGUCCCUCCGGCGUACUUCUUCCUCCUAUAUAUACACACGUACCCCCAAACGAUUAGAACUGGAGACAAAAAUCUAAUUCCACCGCCGCAACUUUCUGUAUCCAUGAGAUCCCAUCUUGGGGCCUGUUCCGGAGCUCCACCAGAAGAGGGCCGUCAUCACGGAGGGCUUCUACAUCAUCAUAGCCUCUCCGAUGAAGUGUGAGUAGUUUACCUCAGACCUUCGGGUCCAUAGUUAGUAGCUAGAUGGCUUCUUCUCUCUCUUUGAAUCUCAAUACAAAGUUCUCCCCCUCUCUUGUGGAGAUCUAUUAGAUGUAAUCUUCUUUUUAUGAUGUGUUUGUUGAGACCGAUGAAUUGUGGGUUUAUGAUGAAGUCUAUCUAUGAAUAAUAUUUGAAUCUUCUCUGAAUUCUUUUAUGUAUGAUUGGUUAUCUUUGCAAGUCUCUUCGAAUUAUCCGUUUGGUUUGGCCAACUAGAUUGGUAGAUCUUGCCAUGGGAGAAGUGCUUAGCUUUGGGUACGAUCUUGCGGUGUCCUUACCCAGUGACAGAAGGGGCAGCAAGGCACGUAUUGUAUCGUUGCCAUCGAGGAUAACAAGAUGGGGUUUAUUUCAUAUUGCAUGAAUUUAUCUCUCUACAUCAUGUCAUCUUGCUUAAGGCGUUACUCUUUUUUUAACUUAAUACUCUAGAUGCAUGCUGGAUAGCGAUCGAUGAGUGGAGUAAUAGUAGUAGAUGCAGAAUCGUUUCGGUCUACUUGUCACGGACGUGAUGCCUAUAUACAUGAUCAUGCCUAGAUAUUCUCAUAACUAUGCUCAAUUCUGUCAAUUUCUCAACAAUAAUUUGUUCACCCACCGUAGAAUACUUAUGCUCUUGAGAGAAGCCACUAGUGAAACCUAUGGCCCCAGGGUCUAUUCUCAUCAUAUCAAUAUCCAUCACUUUAAUCUUGCUUUGCCUUUUUUACUUUGCUUUUACUUUUUACUUUGCAUCUUUAUACCAAAAAUACCAAAAAUAUUAUAUCUAUCAGAUCUCACUCUCGUAAGUGACCGUGAAGGGAUUGACAACCCCUAAUCGCGUUGGUUGUGAGUAGCUAUCGCUUUGUGCAGGUACGAGGGACUUGAGCAUGGGCUCCUACUGGAUUGAUACCUUGGUUCUCAAAAACUGAGGGAAAUACUUACAGUACUCUGCUGCAUCAUCCCUUCCUCUUUGGGGAAAACCAACGCAAGCUCAAGACGUAGCAGGCUGCUAUGUGUGCUGCAUGCUACUAGCAAGCCCUGCGCCGCUAUCACAGCCGCAUGGUUCAUGCCCGGUGUUUUGAGGAAGGUGACCUUGUCCUUAGGCGCGUUCAGUCCGCCAAGGUUACAAACAAGUUAUCACCGAAGUGGGAAGGCCCUUACCGGGUAGUACGAGUCACCGGACGUGGCGCAAUCCAUCUGGAGAUCAGAGAUGGCAUUCAAUUGCAAAACUCAUGAAAUCUUGAGCAUCUCCGUAAGUUCUACCCGUAAGGCGAGGUUAUCGGGCAAGGCCCGGCAACCACCCUUUUGUAUAGGCCUUGCCUCAGUUGCAUGUAACCCUUGUACAAUGCCAGGCGCAGACCCUGAGCAACAGAGAAAUAAAUGAAGCACUGGGUGCCCCCGACAAGUUGCAUGCAUGCAUAAGCAUAUCAUGAGCAUUGCAUGUUCAUGUAGAUAAGAUCGCAUGUGGCAUCAUUUUCAUCUGCAUAAACUGUAGGCUCUUUCUAUUGACUCAGUCCCCCAGAGGAGAUGACAACACAAGCCACCACUACGGUCUUUGGCAAGCCAAACAGAUAAGUUCAUCCUCUUAUCCAUAUUUGUUCUGUAAGUAAAGGCUUGUGCAUAAUAAAGCCCUUCUACCCUUUAAAACAUAGGUGCUCCCACCAUUUAACUCGAACGCUGCUUUGGUCGGGGUGGUCGCAGUGGCCUUUGGUGGAUAAGGACCGACAGGGGGCUAGUCCCUCUUUACGAUUUCUUCCCCGUAGACUUACUUCCCGACAACAACACAGAGGGUUCCAGUAGGAUAGCCUGCCAGGGGAACUUGUUUCUUUAAAAAUAUAGAGGCAUCCCACCUCUACAUGGACAUAUACAUGCACUAGUCCCCGGCAAAGUCCAUCCUUUUCACUAGAUAUGGAGAUCAAACAAGUAUAGACCUUAUAGACACACACAUGGAUUCGAGAGAUUACAUUAUUUGAAAGAAAAUUUGGCAAGUGCCUAUAGGUUUAAGAUUGAAAAAAGAUAAGUGCCCCGUAAACUCCUCUCCCUGUCCCUUUUACCCAGGGUACUGUGGUGGGAAAGAAAAGAGUACAAGAGGAGUGCCCAAGUAGGAGCCCACCCUGGUCUCGUCGUGGCUUGCUGGACACAGCCUGAUAAGAUCGGGAGUGGCGAGGCUGUGAAGAAGGGGGCGGAAGGAACAGCUCGGCGGUGCCCUGGUCACCACCUCAACGGACAGUUAGAAGCCCCAGCACAUGCACCGGUAGGGAAGACCGUCGGAGCUCAGCUGGAAGACUGUUGGAGGCGGAGAAGGCACCAAGAGAGCGCCCCCUUCUCGGCAACUGGGAGGCCGGUGAUGAUGGUACUGGGAGGGGGAGGGGAGGAGAGGAAAGAUGAGGUGGCAGGACACCAGUACGAUAUGAACGCGUAGGUGCGAUCGUAAUCAGACCCGACGGCCUGCCUCGCACCUUCUCCGUCUUCCCUAGUUUCAUCUUCAUCAACACCGCUCCAGAGAAGUGCCGACCUCUCGAUCCGGCACUUCCCCCAAGAAGAUGGUGGAAGGCAGCACCGACCAGGGUGCUCCAGGGCGCUGUCGGUGUCAAAACCGGCGGAUGUCGGGUAGGGGAUCCCGAACCGUGCGUCUAGGAUCGAUGGUAAUGGGAGACGGCGGACACGAUGUUUUACCCAGGUUUGGGCCCUCUCUAUCGAGGUAAUACCCUACUUCCUGCUUGAUUUAUCUUGAUGAAUAUGAGUAUUACAAGAGUUGAUCUACCACAAGAUCGUAGUGGCUAAACCCUAAAAGCCUAGCCUGUAUGACUAUGGUAAUAAAUCUCCUUUCUGGACUAACCCCUUCGGUUUAUAUAGGCACCGGGGGGAUCUAGGAUUUACAUAGAGUCGGUUACAUAAGAAGGAAUCUUCAGAGUCGGUUGCCAAGCUUGCCUUCCACGCCAAGGAGAGUCCAAUCCGGACACAGGUACAGUCUUUGGCCUUCAUGUCUUCAUAGCCCAUCAGUCCUGCCCAUGGAUAACAGGCCAGACGCCCGAGGACCCCUUAGUCCAGGACUCCCUCAGGCGCCGCUCCCCACCUUGGUGGGCAGGAAGGCGCCCUCCAUAUCGAGAUCAACCCCAGUUCCAAGGAAAGGGGCAAUACUGGGAUUUUUGAUGAUCCCAAGCCUUACGCCUUGGAACUGGACCAGACUCACUCCCCUGGCGUCUACAUGGGCACUUGGAGUCUGAAGCACUAAGAUAGGGCCCUGGGCCUUGCCCCGUGCUCUCCUCUUCAGCAUACCAGAGGGAAAGCAGAGGACGAAGGAAGACCGGAGUAUGGUUGGAUGCCUCCACUCCUCCCCAGCUCCUCCUUUUACAGGUUAGCUGGGGCUGGGGGCUCAUUCCCCAGUGAGUAAUCACCAUCCUCCUCCACAAACCCAAGAAGACCGGGCCCCUGCCUUGAUGCUCUUCUGCACCACGCGCCACUGUUACCUACCCCACUCAAUGCAUGCAGCAUACUGGCCUAGUGUAAGGGCGUGGUGGGAAGAGUGAAUUGGUCGUUACCCGCCCGUGCACCAAAGUCAUUCACGGGCCAUUACAAAGAUGGCCCCACCAUGAUUGGCAUCACACGGAGCAUGAGAGAAACGGAAACUGACCCAAGAUUCAAGCUAAGGAGGAAGCUAAGAAGAUCUCAAAGUGUGGAGCCGCCCUUGCGCUCCUGCGUGUGCACUAGUUAGGGCCUACCCCGACAACACCCAGCGGCGUGUUCAUGCCAGGCCCGGGGGCCCCUGUCGGUGCAACGAAACCUGGGUCCAUCGCCCAGACCGUGCACAGGCUCAAAGACAAGAUUACAUCACCAAGCUCAAACCAAGCAAGGAGGAUCAAUCCCUCUAACAGACCACUAAGGAAAGAACCUACCUUGCAGGGCAGGCGAGCCUGGCGAGGUUGGUUUUUCCCCGGAAGCAAGCUUCCAGAUCGACCCGGUAGGCCCUGCCAGGGGCUUACGGAGGCAAGCCACGCCACCUCUCCACCUCAUGAGCAGCAGAAGUCAUAGGUCAGUGCGGUGUCAAGCCCCAAGAUGACUAGGUGGCUGCUUUUCGCCACAUGGCAGCCAUUUUCUAUAACAACACCUCCAUAUGACACGCGUCCCGAGACGUGUCAAGUGAGCAGCCGCGAAGCUGGCAAAACAGCCCGGCAAGAGCUGCCGGGCAUGCUGUGAUGUGACACUAGACGGCGCAUUUAAUGCGCACUGUCAGCCUGCAGAGUUAGGUAUGAUAGCACUGUUUGCUAUCUAAUCAGUACGCGAAGACUGAUUUGCCACUGUAGUAACCCCUUGAUCUAUAAAAGGAGGUCCAUGACAAACAUAGAAAGGGUUUGCGAGCAUGGCAACUUCAGGCCCUCAAAUAUCGAUACGCAUGUAACCACUUAUGCCCUGAGGCAACCCUACCGGGCAAAGUGCAUUAUGUCCACCACCACCCUUUUCCACCAUCAAUCCACCAAAGCAGGAGUAGGGUUUUACGCCUCACGGCGGCCCAAACCUAGGUAAAACUGCUUGUGUGGUCUCUGCCAUGCUGUGCCACGCUUCUCUGCUCUUUGUGGAACGUGCCCAUCCCGCCGCCAAAAAAGGGGCUCGUAGCCCAGGUGGCCGUGGUUUCCCACAAAGUGUCAUUUCACUCUUUUCGUGUAUUUUAGAAAUCUCGCAAAUCAAAGAGGCCCGAAGUGUUCAAAUCUACAGCUAGGCAGCAAUAUGUUGUGUUCAUUUGCAGAGACUAGCAGGCCCGAAAGUAGAAAAUGUUGGGGAAUAUAAGAAUUCCAUUGAAUGCCUUGUUCUUCAUCUCACAAAAAUUACUUUUAGCAAGCACCGAUGCACCACACCAGAAAUUAAAUUCGCUAGGUUCUUUGUGGAGAAAGCAAGGUUGCUCAAGGUAUUGAGGUUUUACCUAUAUGUACUGCGUAGAAGUGAAUGGAUUUCUAAAGAGCGCAGGCAUCUACAGCUGAAUGGAAAAGGCUCUGCACAAGCUGAAUUUCAGUUUGUAACUUCAUACGAUAGAUUAUUCAGAAGUCACUGUAUCGAGCCGCUAUAUGACUUCUAGGUGGCUGAUCCUCCAAUAGAAAUAAUGCAUGAAAAAGAUGGUGAAGAAGAUGAAUGUUAUGUGUCUGAAUAGUUUGAACCUUGUAAUAUCUGAAUUUGGGCCUUGUAAUGCUGGAAUUUGAACUUUGCAAUAUUUAUGGUAUUUGUUAUAUAACGUAAUUGGAUGUUUAACUUGGUUUUGCAAUCAUGUCCUGUUAUAAGUAUAGAUAUGUUGUUCUCCUGUACACAGAGAAUAGAUGUUGUGUAGACAGAGCAUAUUACAUCACACACAGACGACACAAGGUAACCCAGCGGUGAUGAAUUCAUCAAUCACAAAUGGUUAUAUACCAGCAAAAGUUUGCCCACAACACACACGACUUAUUCCAUCAUGCUUGAUGUCUCCGCCAUCACUCGCACAGUUCGUCUUAUUUGCCACGUGUCACUGUGUUGGCCUCUGCUUGCGUCCCUCAGCACACUCUGCUCGCUGAUAGGCGCCGCAGCGCAUUGUCCUCGCUGUUAGGCGCUGCAGCAUGCUCUGCUGAUGUUCCUCCACGCGCUCGGCUUGUGGACAACUUUUCCUUGCAUGUUUAACUGCUAUAUGCCCAUAUAUGGUUGCUCGCUGUUGAGGCACCGCGAAGCGCUCUGCUUGUGUCCCUGCGCGCGUGCUCUGCCAAUGGUUGGGGCCUGCGCACGAUCACAUUAGGGGCCCAUAUGCAUGAGGUUGUGCCGCGCGCGUUGCUAUGAUGGAGUUACAUGCGACACGAUGGAGUUACGCGCUGCAAAAUAGAACUUCCAUCUGGGCAUGCGGAUAUUCCAGGCCGUCCGAAUUCCCCAUUAAUUCCCUCGGCCAUUAUAACCAUAGUCUCUUCAAUCAUUCGACAUCACCCCACAACACAACAAGCACGCCCACGAUGACACAUAUAGAGAGGAUAACUAGCGGCGCUCCAAUGGAGUUUGGUGAGCAUAAAGUGGAGACCAUGCGAGGGAGACGGAUCUUUCGAUGGUGUACACCAUCCACUUGGCUGUGGUGGAGGACCACAUCAACACCGUGGCAGUUGCUUGCUCGAGACAAGUACAAGGUGGUCAGCAUCGACCUCCAGUACACCGACGGUCAUCCCGACAAUGAUCAAAAGGUUGUCGUCGUGCUGUUGUGUGUGUGCCAUCAUGUCCUCAUCUACCACUACUACAUGGCCACAGAGCCUUGCGACCGUUUCCCUAGGUUUGUCAACAGCACCGACUACAAACAAUGUAAAAGCGCUCAUGGUUUUAGGCUUGGCCUACCAGAAUCUUGUCAAAAUCUGUGACAACUACAGGGUACGGGGUAGCAUGAAUAAGGACUCCCUUGUUGAACUCGCCUCAGCCAUCAUUGACCCCUGAUACGAAAAGAUGAAGUUGGAUGCCAUCAAAACAAGUCAUGUAUCCUACCACGGGGCCUGGAUGCAGCAACUGGAUGAACCUCACCUCAGGUUCACAGCCAAGAGUGUGUACACAUGCUACGAGAUGCACAGCCAGAUCGUUGAGAUGAGGAAGUGCCUCGUUCCCAAAAUUGUCGAGGCCGAAUCGAGCCACAAGUAGAGCAGUAGCGGGAAGUGGCACAAGAAGUAGAUGAUGAUCACAUGAUAGUUUGUUCUAGUUAAUUAUGCACGUACUAUAUAGUUUAUUGUGGUGUGUGGAAAGAUCAUGUGUGUAGUAGCCAGCUAUGUAAUUAUGCAUGUAAUAGUUUACUUUGGUGUGUGCAAUUAAAUGGCAUGUCUCAUGUGUGCAGUAGCCACCUAUGUAAUUCGAUGCUUAAUUAAUUUGGUUAUGUAACCAUGUCCUUAUAAGUGUGUGUGUGUGUGUGUGUGUGUUGUUGUUGUUGUUGUUGUUGUUGUUGUUAUGUAUGCAAUCCCAUCGCACAACAACACACAUCUUGUUAGUAGCACGUCUUUGUUAUUCUCGGUCUUCGCACACAUUUCUGAUUACAGACCUCUUUGCCGCGUAUCACACACAUCUUGUUAAAUUGAACCGUUUCUAUUCUCCUUGCUCAACACAACCAGUUCAUCCGAGUGGAUUGUUUGCCCUCUAUCGCACACACCUUGAUCUGGCUGAGCGUUUAUUUUGUUCGGCCUAAUCACAAACAGUUCUUCCUAGUGAAUUGUAUGCCAUAAAUCGCACACACCUUGAUCCGGCUGACCAUUUUUGUUGUGUUUCCUAAUCACAAAUAGUUAAUCCAAGCGCACUGUAUGCUGUGUAUCGCAUGCACCUUGAUCUGGCUGCCCGUUUCAGUUGUUCUACCUCAUCAGAAACAGUUCAUUGGAGUGAACCGUAUGCCCCUCAUCGCGCACGUAAGUAAAAUCUGAACUGUGUUUGAUGUAUCCACCAUCGCAAACAUUUUUCAUCUUUUUUGAAAUUUUUACUUCACCAUUUGCGAUUAACGCAUCACACAUAGUUUCAUGGAAGGGUCUCUGAUCGUAGUGUCGCAUUAGCAGCAUCCUGCAGUAGUGGCACAAUCAUUUUAUAAUCUAAGAAUGGCUAAUAUUUAUUGAACAUUAUUUAUGAAAAUUUGCAUACCUUGACGGGUUUAUGAAAAUUGAGAUAUUUGCUAAUGUACAAAAAUCUUCUACUUCUUCUUCAACUAAAUUGCCACAUUUGAAAUUUUACCUUGAAUGCUUGUCAUGAAACUUUGGGAAUGCCCUUACAGAGAACAUAAUUAAAGUAGGACAUUGUGAACACUACUUUUAAUGAUUCGAUUAGUAUGAGACUUCACAUGACAUAUAAACUUUAUAAAACAACAUCAUGGAUUAAUUUGACAUUGCAUAAACAUAUAUUAUGAACUUUGUUACUCAUAUAUAAUUCUUUUUCUAGUCAUUCGAUGCUAUAUGCAUCCAUAACCAUACUGUAUUUCUGGUCACAUAUGAUGCAUACGUAAUAGCGACAGAUGAACUUUCCUACACAUAAUAUUCCUUAAUUUUUCUUUCCAAAUAAGAAUUUAUAUAUUCCACCAUGCAUGACCACUUUGUGCAUGUCAAGUCUCAAAUAUGAUGGCUUUGACAGUUCUCUAUGAGCACCUGUGUAUUUACAAAAAAAGGAAUGGACCAAUAAAAAGAUGAUAGAUUUCAUAAACACUGAUAGUAGGAGAUAUGAGAGGCAAAGAUGGAGUGAAAUAGUGUACCAUCCUGAGUUUAAUUUCCAACAAGCAAAAGCAAAAAAAAUAGCUCAUAUUAAUCCCAUCCAUUUGUUUAUUUUUCUGUGCUCUUAUUCAUGUGUUUGUCUAGGUAUAUGUGACGCGACUUGCCGUCUAGGAAAGUUUAUUGCCAACACGCAUCGUCUAAGGACAUUUAUUGGAAGAUCAUUCUAAUCAAGAUUAGUGAUAUCGUACCACAUUAAUGUCCAUGGCAAAUCUUGUCAAGUUUCUGAGAUAGUUUUGAACUAAUGGGAUAUGAAUAUCUAUAUUUGUGCCACAAAUGGGAGUAUUAAUGAAAAAUCAUACUUCUUUUAUUUUUCUUUUUUACGAUGGAGCUCACAAUUUGAGUUAGAUAUCUUAUCCAAUCUCGUUGGACUCAUGUGAUUUAUAUGUUGUAGGGAAUAUAUACCUUGGGUCACCUAGUAGAAAUUAAUUUAUAAUGUAAAUAACUUCAGAUUAUUUAAUUUUUUCUCCAAUUAUUAAAAUAAUUGAAUGUUUUGAAUAAAAAAAUAUUUAUAAUAAUGAGCUAUAUAACCCUCUUCACUUUCAUUUUUUAGUUUGAGCCAAUCACUGUACAUGUACAUCUAACGUACAUAAAACUUUCCAUAUUUAUAACAUUUAAUUCAAAACUUAUUAUGGAGCAAGUAUGUUGCUUGUUGGUGUGUUGCAUAAAAAUCUCCAUUUUUUCAGAUAAAACAAAUGGAUGGGACUGUGAUACAUGUAUUUUCCAUCAAAAUUUCCUAAAGAUAAAUACUCUAGUUUAAUACUUAUAGGAUCAAUACUACGUAAUUUUGACUUCAACUAAUUAUAUUUUAGUGUUUUACUGGAAGGACUAAUAAAAAUUGUCUGAGGAGGGAAUAAAAAUCACAAAUAACAUCUCUUUUUAGACGUAGAGAAAAAUUCAAGAAAAAUAUUUGAGCAAGGUUUGGAGCAAAAGGUGCCUGGUAGGCCCAAGCAACCAAGUUAGGGGCCUCAAUUCUUUAGCGGCUUAGAUAGGACAAUUGUGUCCCACAUGCUAGUGUGGGUACCCUUUCAGGGUAUUUUUCUUUCGCUCGUUGAAACCUAAUUCUUCCUGGAGGGUUCUUUCUCCAUGAUUUCCCCGUUUAGUUAGUGAUUUUAAACAAAGAGUCAUUACCAUCACUAAUAUAUAUAGAGGAACAUCAUCAUCCAAGUCAUCUUCGCCAUUUCCAUCAACAACACUAUCUUCCCCAUGCAUUUCUAUAACAUCUUUGCGAAAGUUGUGUAGAUCGGUUAGCGUUAUUACCACACCCAUGGUAUCUGCAUAGACACCAGUCAUGAAUUAUUAAACCUUGCCCGUUAUUACUAAAAAAUAAAAACUAGUUCUUCUUGUUAUUCUAUUAUUUAAUAUUCAUAAUAUUAGUUCUUCGUGCAUACAAGAUCAACUCCAUAGACUGGACAUGCCAAUCCUUGUAACUAUCAAAGCUAGUGAGAUUCACAACUUCAAUAGAAGUGUUUGGGACAAAUUAAAAGUUUCUUAGUUAAGGGCAAGGCAAAUAUUUUUUGUGUAGGAGAACUCCCCAGCUUGAUACCUUGGUUUCCAUUGAGGGAACCUAACUUGUUGCUUAAAACAAUGUCCCUUGAGUGAAUAAUAUCUGAAACUCCAUGGCUUACUCCAAAGAAAAUUUGGCCAACUAUAAUCAUCAAUUUUCGGACAUGUUAGAGUCAAUGAAAGUGCAUUAAUCACCGGGCGGUUUUGAUAAUUCAUAAUGACACAUAUCUCCUUGCGCUAAUUCCUUCUCAAAGAAUGUUCCAGGAAAAGUUCAAUUUAGCUACAACAAGGCUGUAAAAAGGGAACUCUCAAAAUGCUGAGGACUAGUGUUGGGUCAAGCCUGAAGACUUGAUUUUACAUUUGAGCGAUCUAACCAUUGAGUCCAUAGGUAUGCCAGAGGGGUGUGUCUUUGACGACAUUGUUUUUUCUACUAGAGAGAAUUCCCCUAAAUUUUCAUCCAAGACCUCGCUUCUCCACUUCAUGGAAACCAUGCCAAGUGGUUUUGGUUUUCGAUUUUUUGCAUAUUCUACAAUGAUUUCACUAAAAACAAAUGCGAUAAAUGGCCACAUUUGUCGCAGUAUGUAAAGGUGUCGGAAGUCAUUCAAACUAGCAAUAAAUGCCUACCUAGGGAUUUUCCUCAUUUUUGCAAAAGUUCAGGUCAUGACCCUGAGUUUAAAAAGAGAGUAUUGAAAAGACAAUGUCCACAUAGGCCAUAAGGUUAUGUUUGUGACGACAUCAUUUUUUGAGUUGCGAGAAAUGGCUAGGACUUUUUCCAUGACAUAGCAUGACCAAUUAAUGUCAUCAUGCCAAGUGGAUUUGUGUCUUAGACAAAUUUUGUUUUUUCUGGAAUAAUUUUGGUGAAAAUAGUCUGAUAAUUGCCCAGACGUGUCACAACAUGCAAACAUUUUUGAAAGUUGUUCAAACCAAGCAUGGAUGAAUAUCAUAGGCAUGCCUCCUUGGUGCGAAAACACGGGGUCAUUCCUCAGAGCUACAAAACACCAUGUUGAAAAGAUGAUGUUUAGGUAGGGAAGAAGGUUGUGUUUAUCAUCACAUCAUUUUUUGAGCAGUGAGAAAGGGCACCAAACAUUUUCUAUGACCUAGCCUGACCAAUUCUUGACAUCAUUACGAGUGAUUUUUAUUUCCGACAAGUUUUGCAUUUGCUAGAACUAUUUUAGUGAAAAAGGUUGAUUAAUGUUCCCAUGUGUCACCAUGUGAAUGGGGCUUAAAGUCAUUCAAACAAGCCAUGAAUGCCUAUCAUGGGCAUUGCCUCAUUAGUGGCAGAUGUUCAAUUCAAUACUGAGAUGUGAAAAAAACAAUGAUUAAAUGGCGAUCUCCACACAGUCAUUUUAAAAUCUAAGAAUAACUAAUAUUUAUUAAACAUUAUUUACAAAAAAUUUCAAACUGUUGUUGGCUCUAUGGAAAUUGAGAUAUUUUCUAAUAUAAAAUAAUCUUCUAUUUCUUCUUCAACCAAAGUGCCAGAUUUGAAAUUUUACCUUGAAUUCGUGCUAAGAAAUAAUAUUUGGGAAUGGCCUUACAGAGAACAUAAUAAAAGCAGGACAUUUCGAACAUUUAAUGAUUUGACUAGUAUGAGACUAGACAAGGCAUAUAAAUGAUAUAAAACAACACCAUGGAUUAAUUUGACAUUGAAUAAACAUAUAUUAUGAACUUUAUUACUUAUAUAAAUUUUAUUCCAGACACUUGAUGCUAUAUGCAUCAACAACCAUAUUGUAUUUCUAGUCACAUAUGACGCAUACGCAAUAGCGCUUGAUAGACUUGCGUAUACAAUAAUAUUCCUUAAUUUUCUUAUCAAAAUAAGAAUUUACACAUUGCUCCCAGCAUGUCCACUUCGAGCAUGUGAAGUCUCCAAUAAGAUGGCUUUGGCAGUUUUCAAGCAAACGGUAAGAAUCUAUGUAUUUACACAAAACAGGAAGGCAUAAGUAAAAAGAUAUUAAAUUUCUCAAGCACUAAUAGUAGGAGAGAUGAAAGUUAGGGAGGGAGCGAAAGAGUGUACCUGCUUGAGUGUAAUUUCCUAGAAGCAAAAGCAAAAUGAAAAAACAACUCAUAGUUUUCCCUUCCAUUUGUUUGUUUUUCUGUGGUUUUGUUCAUGUG
RNAcentral lists this long non-coding RNA (12194 nucleotides) under Triticum aestivum (bread wheat). RNAcentral's name for it is "long non-coding RNA (TAES_LNC001913)". Lineage: Eukaryota; Viridiplantae; Streptophyta; Magnoliopsida; Poales; Poaceae. The record is from RNAcentral.